This 475-nucleotide ribosomal RNA is filed under the name uncultured bacterium. Its description in RNAcentral is "partial 16S ribosomal RNA". It matches the Rfam family "Bacterial small subunit ribosomal RNA", at positions 28 to 507 of the family's 1533-position model. The record is from RNAcentral.
GAGGAAGGAGAGGGGCAGGCCUAACACAUGCAAGUCGAGGGAUAAGCCUUCGGGCUAAGACCGGCGCACGGGUGCGUAACGCGUAUACAAUCUGCCUUUUAUCCGGGGGAUAGCCCGAAGAAAUUUGGAUUAAUACCCUAUGGUAUAAGAGCACGGCAUCGUGCACUUAUUAAAGCUACGGCGGUAAAAGAUGAGUAUGCGUUCUAUUAGCUAGUUGGAGAGGUAACGGCUCCCCAAGGCGACGAUAGAUAGGGGUUCUGAGAGGGAUGUCCCCCACACUGGUACUGAGAUACGGACCAGACUCCUACGGGAGGCAGCAGUGAGGAAUAUUGGACAAUGGUCGGAAGACUGAUCCAGCCAUGCCGCGUGCAGGAUGACGGCCUUAUGGGUUGUAAACUGCUUUUGUAAGGGAAGAAUAAGGAGUACGUGUACUUUGAUGACGGUACCUUACGAAUAAGCAUCGGCUAACUCCGUG